GAUGAAGAACGUAGCGAAAUGCGAUAACUAAUGUGAAUUGCAGAAUUCCGUGAAUCAUCGAGUCUUUGAACGCACAUUGCGCCCCCUGGUAUUCCGGGGUGCAUGCCUGUCCGAGCGUCAUUGCUGCCCAUCAAGCACGGCUUGUGUGUUGGGUCCCGUCCCCCUCUCCCGGGGGACGGACCCGAAAGGCAGCGGCGGCACCGCGUCCGGUCCUCGAGCGUAUGGGGCUUUGUCACCCGCUCUUGUAGGCCCGGCCGGCGCUUGCCGACACCCAACCAUUUUUUUCAGGUUGACCUCGGAUCAGGUAGGGAUACCCGCUGAACUUAAGCAUAUCAAUAAGCGGAGGA
RNAcentral lists this unclassified non-coding RNA (347 nucleotides) under soil metagenome. RNAcentral's name for it is "partial contains 5.8S ribosomal RNA, internal transcribed spacer 2, and large subunit ribosomal RNA". The stretch from base 1 to 120 matches the Rfam family "5.8S ribosomal RNA", at positions 35 to 154 of the family's 154-position model. The record is from RNAcentral.